Molecule: long non-coding RNA, 627 nt
Filed under: Nicotiana benthamiana
Lineage: Eukaryota; Viridiplantae; Streptophyta; Magnoliopsida; Solanales; Solanaceae
Description: long non-coding RNA (NBEN_LNC041012)
Source: RNAcentral
CUGCCUUUGACUCCUUUCGUCUCUCAAACGCUCUCGAUGGUCCUGAAAUCCUAGCCCCUCUGCCCCGUUUUCAACCGCCACUUCACCGGAAUCCAUGGCUUCUCAGGCCAUGGACGGCCUGUACUCACCCUCCACCGUUAAACCCUGGGUAUCCAAAGUUUGAGGUCAGACCUUGAUGGUUCUCUUUAAGAUAUUCUUAGAUUUAUAGCUCCAUGGCCUCUCCAGUUAUGCUCUGGCGUAUCCAAAGCAUUAGGAGCCUAAUUCUAACUCAUUCGACUCAAAAUCGGACUUUCUUCCAAGCCUUUCUCAUUUCUAGGGUUUCUUCGAAAUCCUAAGCUAUUCGAGGUUCUUCUCUAUUUUUUUUCUUAGAUCAAUGCGAUAUAUGCGUUCUACUGUAUUUUAAAGUUGUUUUCCCCAAUCUUUUCUUUCAAAAAUUGCUUCUCUUCGAUUUAGGGUUUCUGAAAGGGCUUCAAACGCCUUUCUGAUUCUUUCUUUUCUUUUCUUUGUGUGUGUUUAUCUAUAUUAUGCUAGUGUGUUUUCUUUUCUACCAUGCAUGUGUUGUUCUUUUGUUUUCUUUCUACUAUACAUGGCUCUUAUGUACUUUUGUAUUCUAAUGUGCCACUAGAC